RNAcentral lists this ribosomal RNA (1415 nucleotides) under Serratia marcescens. Its description in RNAcentral is "partial 16S ribosomal RNA". It matches the Rfam family "Bacterial small subunit ribosomal RNA". The record is from RNAcentral. Lineage: Bacteria; Pseudomonadati; Pseudomonadota; Gammaproteobacteria; Enterobacterales; Yersiniaceae.
UAGAGUCGAUCCAACACAAGGGAGCUUGUGCUCCCUUGUUGACGAGCGACGGAUGAGUGAGUAAUGUCUGACCUGCUGGCUGAAGGAGGGUAACUCCUGCUGACCGCAGCUACUAAUACCGAAUUCCGUGACACGACCGGAGAGGGGGAGAUUCAGGGCUCUUGCCGUCACAUGUGCACGGAUGGGAUUAGCAUUAACGAGGGGUAAUGGCUCUGGCUCACCACGAUCCCUAUGUGGACUGAAACGAUGACCAGCCUCACUGGAACUGAGACACGGUCCCGACUCCUACUCCAGGCAGAGGUGGGGAAUAUUGAUCUUCCGGCGCGAGCCUGAUGCAGACAUGCCGCCUGCGUGAGGAAGGUGAAGGGUUUGUAAAGCACUUUCUCUGUUGAUGAAGGAGAAGAAGUUCAUACGUUAAUGAAUUGACCUUACUCGCAGAAAACGCACCGGCUAACUCCGUGUCCGCGCCCGCGGCAAUACGAAUGGUGAAAUGGCUAAUCUUAACCACUGGUAUUGAAGCGCACGCAGGCUCGGUUUGUUUAGUUCUUGAUGUGGAAAUCCCCGSGCUCAACCUGGACACUGCAUUUUAAACUGGCAAGCUGAGGUCUCGUAUAGGAGAGGGUAGAAUUCCCAGGUGUACGGUAAAAUGUGAAAUAGGAUCGGGAGGACUCCAGGUGGGGAAGGCGUCUCUGGGACGAAGAGAACGUUCGGAUGAAAACGCGGGGAAGCAACCAGAUUUAGAUACCCUGUUAGUCCACGCGGUAAAGGAUAUCGAUUAGUAGUAGGUGCCCUCGACGCGUGACUUCCGCAGCUAACGCGUUAAGCCGUCCGCCUGGGGAGUACGGCCGCAAGGUUAAAACUCAAAGGAAUUGACGGGGGCCCGCACAAGCGGUGGAGCAUGUGGUUUAAUUCGAAGCAACGCGAAGAACCUUACCUGCUCUUGACAUCCUGAGACCUUCCCAGAGAUGGGUUGUUCCCUUCGGGAACUGUGAGACAGGUGGUGCAUGGUUGUCGUCAGCUCGUGUUGUGAAAUGUUGGGUUAAGUCCCGCAACGAGCGCAACCCUUAUUCUUUGUUGCCAGCGGUUAGGCGGGCAAUUCAAGGGGGCCGGCCGGUGAUAACCGGGAGGAGGGGGGGGAGGAGGUCAAGUCUUCAUGGCCCUUUGGCGUAGGGCUCCCCCCGUGUUCCAAUGGCGUAUCCAAAGAGAAGGGACCUCCAGAGAGCAACCGGACCUCAUAAAGUACGUCGUAGUCCGGAUUGGAUUUGCCAAUUGGAUUCCAUGAAGUCGGAAUCGCUAGUAAUCGGGAUCAGAAUCGACGGAAUAUACGUUCCGGGGCCUUGUACACAGCGCCCGUCACCCCAUGGGAGUGGGUCCAAAAGAAGUAGGUAGGUUACCUUUAGGAAGGGCGCUCCCAA